RNAcentral lists this ribosomal RNA (433 nucleotides) under uncultured bacterium. RNAcentral's name for it is "partial 16S ribosomal RNA". It matches the Rfam family "Bacterial small subunit ribosomal RNA", at positions 29 to 507 of the family's 1533-position model. The record is from RNAcentral.
AACGAACGCUGGCGGCAUGCCUAACACAUGCGAGUCGAACGAGACCUUCGGGUCUAGUGGCGCACGGGUGCGUAACGCGUGGGAACCUGCCCUUAGGUUCGGAAUAACUCCCCGAAAGGGGUGCUAAUACCGGAUAAUGUCUUCGGACCAAAGAGUUAUCGCCUUUGGAUGGGCCCGCGUUGGAUUAGCUAGUUGGUAGGGUAAAAGCCUACCAAGGCGACGAUCCAUAGCUGGUCUGAGAGGAUGAUCAGCCACAAUGGGACUGAGACACGGCCCAGACUCCUACGGGAGGCAGCAGUGGGGAAUAUUGUACAAUGGGCGAAAGCCUGAUCCAGCAAUGCCGCGUGAGUGAUGAAGGCCUUAGGGUUGUAAAGCUCUUUUACCCGGGAUGAUAAUGACAGUACCGGGAGAAUAAGCUCCGGCUAACUCCGUG